RNAcentral lists this ribosomal RNA (301 nucleotides) under uncultured bacterium. RNAcentral's name for it is "partial 16S ribosomal RNA". It matches the Rfam family "Bacterial small subunit ribosomal RNA", at positions 509 to 807 of the family's 1533-position model. The record is from RNAcentral.
CAGCAGCCGCGGUAAUACGAAGGGUGCAAGCGUUACUCGGAAUUACUGGGCGUAAAGCGUGCGUAGGUGGUGGUUUAAGUCCGUUGUGAAAGCCCUGGGCUCAACCUGGGAAUUGCAGUGGAUACUGGGUCACUAGAGUGUGGUAGAGGAUAGUGGAAUUUCCGGUGUAGCAGUGAAAUGCGUAGAGAUCUGGAGGAAUACCGGUGGCGAAGGCGGCCCCCUGGACAAAGACUGACGCUCAGGUGCGAAAGCGUGGGGAGCAAACAGGAUUAGAUACCCGAGUAGUCCCUGUCUCUUAUAC